Molecule: transfer RNA, 72 nt
Filed under: Bos indicus (zebu cattle)
Lineage: Eukaryota; Metazoa; Chordata; Mammalia; Artiodactyla; Bovidae
Also listed under: 2 other names
Rfam family: tRNA
About the family: Transfer RNA (tRNA) molecules are approximately 80 nucleotides in length.
Source: Rfam by way of RNAcentral
UCCCUUGUGGUCCAGUGGUAAGACUCUGCUCUUCCAAUGCAGGAGUUGCUGGUUCAAUCCCCAGUCAGGGAA